GAUGAACGCUGGCGGCGUGCCUAAUACAUGCAAGUCGAGCGAAUGGAUUAAGAGCUUGCUCUUAUGAAGUUAGCGGCGGACGGGUGAGUAACACGUGGGUAACCUGCCCAUAAGACUGGGAUAACUCCGGGAAACCGGGGCUAAUACCGGAUAACAUUUUGAACAGCAUGGUUCGAAAUUGAAAGGCGGCUUCGGCUGUCACUUAUUGACGGACCCGCGUCGCAUUAGCUAGUUGGUGAGGUAACGGCUCACCAAGGCAACGAUGCGUAGCCGACCUGAGAGGGUGAUCGGCCACACUGGGACUGAGACACGGCCCAGACUCCUACGGGAGGCAGCAGUAGGGAAUCUUCCGCAAUGGACGAAAGUCUGACGGAGCAACGCCGCGUGAGUGAUGAAGGCUUUCGGGUCGUAAAACUCUGUUGUUAGGGAAGAACAAGUGCUAGUUGAAUAAGCUGGCACCUUGACGGUACCUAACCAGAAAGCCACGGCUAACUACGUGCCAGCCGCCGCCGUAA
This 515-nucleotide ribosomal RNA is filed under the name uncultured bacterium. Its description in RNAcentral is "partial 16S ribosomal RNA". It matches the Rfam family "Bacterial small subunit ribosomal RNA", at positions 28 to 523 of the family's 1533-position model. The record is from RNAcentral.